UACGAAGGGGGCUAGCGUUGUUCGGAAUUACUGGGCGUAAAGCGCGCGCAGGCGGUUCUCCAAGUCAGUGGUGAAAGCCCGGAGCUCAACUCCGGAACUGCCAUUGAAACUGUUGAACUUGAGGACGAGGGAGGUGAGUGGAAUUCCCAGUGUAGAGGUGAAAUUCGUAGAUAUUGGGAAGAACACCAGUGGCGAAGGCGGCUCACUGGCCCGGUACUGACGCUGAGGUGCGAAAGCGUGGGGAGCAAACAGG
RNAcentral lists this ribosomal RNA (253 nucleotides) under uncultured bacterium. Its description in RNAcentral is "partial 16S ribosomal RNA". It matches the Rfam family "Bacterial small subunit ribosomal RNA", at positions 524 to 776 of the family's 1533-position model. The record is from RNAcentral.